CCUUUAUCAUACAUUACCUCAAUAAUGAAUGCCUCUCAUUCAGGGCAAUAGAGGACCGGAUGGAGAGAGAGGUGACCGAGGACCCAAGGGGAAAAAAGGACCAAAAGGAGCGCCAGGGAUCAUGGGUCCUCAGGGUGAGAGGGGCCAGCCAGGUCUCCCCGGCUUACCUGGUGUCAAAGGUCAACCAGGUGCUCCAGGUAUCCAGGGUAUAGAUGGUGAAGUGGGUCCUCAGGGAAUACUUGGAAAAGAGGGUCAAAAGGUCAGAGUC
Molecule: long non-coding RNA, 268 nt
Filed under: Sinocyclocheilus grahami
Lineage: Eukaryota; Metazoa; Chordata; Actinopteri; Cypriniformes; Cyprinidae
Description: lncRNA (ENSSGRG00000008629.1)
Source: RNAcentral